GUACGCACUCCUACGGGAGGCAGCAGUGGGGAAUAUUGCACAAUGGGCGCAAGCCUGAUGCAGCCAUGCCGCGUGUAUGAAGAAGGCCUUCGGGUUGUAAAGUACUUUCAGCAGUGAGGAAGGUGGGUAUGUUAAUAGCAUAUUCAUUUGACGUUAGCUGCAGAAGAAGCACCGGCUAACUCCGUGCCAGCAGCCGCGGUAAUACGGAGGGUGCGAGCGUUAAUCGGAAUUACUGGGCGUAAAGCGCAUGCAGGUGGUUUGUUAAGUCAGAUGUGAAAGCCCGGGGCUCAACCUCGGAAUUGCAUUUGAAACUGGCAAACUAGAGUACUGUAGAGGGGGUAGAAUUUCAGGUGUAGCGGUGAAAUGCGUAGAGAUCUGAAGGAAUACCGGUGGCGAAGGCGGCCCCCUGGACAGAUACUGACACUCAGAUGCGAAAGCGUGGGGAGCAAACAGGAUUAGAUACCCUGGUAG
This 471-nucleotide ribosomal RNA is filed under the name uncultured bacterium. RNAcentral's name for it is "bacterial SSU rRNA". It matches the Rfam family "Bacterial small subunit ribosomal RNA", at positions 329 to 793 of the family's 1533-position model. The record is from RNAcentral.